AACCCCUCACCCCACUCUUAUUAGCAAGCCCAAAAACUCUAAGUGGAUCUUGAAAUUGGACAUUUGUGUAAUCGUUACUUUGGAAUGUCAUAAGUUCUACUUCUGGGGUGUGUGUGUGUGUGUGUGUGUGUGUGUGUGUGUGUGUGUGUGUGUUAGUUUUUCUCUCAGAGAAAGUAGAAGUGUAUGAGAGGCGUUGUCUGCAUGGCUGUUGAUAUCUGGUGUGUGGAUGCUGGCUUUUUAAAAGAUGCUUCGUGUGCUGGCGAGAUGGCUUAGUGGUUAAGAGCACUCACUGCUCUUCCAGAAGUCCUGAGUUCAAAUCCCAGCAACCACAUGGUGGCUCCCAACCAUCUGUAAUGAGUUCUGAUGCCCUCUUCUGGUGUGUCUGAAGACAGCUACAAUGUAAUGUAUAAUAAAUAAAUAAAUCUUAAAAAAUAAAAGAUGCUUCAUAAAUGUAGAGAAGAAUAGGUCAAAGUCAUAGUGUUCAAGAUGAAGUAUAAUUUCCCCUGAUGUGGAAUAGCCAGGAGGUACCAACAAUUGGUCGUUGGCUGUGCUGAGAAAGCAUGGCGGUCUGUAAAGUGGAGUGACCUGCAAGUCACAUACAACUCAGUCAUCCUUCACUUCUGAUCCAUCAGUCACCUCCUCAAAGGUCAAGACUUUCUCUCCAGGCUUGGGUGUCAGUCUUGUUGACACACAACUUGCUGUUGUUAUCCAUUGUGUAUCCUGGGUCUGCUCAGUACCACAAAUGUUCAGCUCCUUCACACAAAGACAUUCACCAUCGCAUGCCUACAUGUGCUCUCCCAUUUCUCUCUCUUGCCAACUGUCUCUUCCUACUGUAAUCUAUCGCAUACUUCCCACUGGUCUUGAAGAUGCCCAGUUGGAUGUUAGCCAGCUUCUUUCUGAACUCUUACCACAAGUGUUCCAGCCAUUGGGUCAAAUGUGCACACUUAAGUGGCAUUUACCAUCUUUCCGAGUUUACCCAAAGGUGCGUGUGGCCUUAUGUUCAUUAUCAACCUAUAAGGGCAUUGCGUCUGAGCACUGAGCACUGAGCACUGUCCUUCACACCAAGGAUGGCCAGGGGUGCUAUGAGCCUGACAAUGACAAUGUAACUAAGAGCAUGUGCAUCUGUGAGAGAAACAUGCGGGCAAGUUCCAAUGUGGGAGCAGACCAUGUUUCUGCCACCCAAGAAUCUAUCUGACAUGCAAAAGGACAGGAAGACAAGUCUCUAUUCAAGAUGUCCGCCAGCUCUGCAUCCUCAAUUCUGUGUCAUCUCUGACUGUCUUAAGUUUGUAGGAUGCCAUAGAUUCUACCCGCAUUAGCAGGAUGAUGUACCAUACAAGGACGUUUAGGCACCUUUACCAAGUGUUGAAAUAUAAAAAUCUAUCAAGAAGCACCAGGUGAGAUUUAAAGCCAGCCUGGAUUACAGAAUGUGAUCCUUCCACUGAGUCAGUCAUUCAGUCAUAGCAACUGAAAAGAAUUUAAAGGCAGCAUUUAUAGUAGUGUGUGUGGGGUGUGUGUGUGUGUGUAUGUGUGUGUGUGUGUGUGUGUAUGUGAGUUUGUGAGUGUGUUUGUGUGUGUGAGUUUGUGUGUGUGUUUGUGUGUGUGUGUGAGUUUGUGAGUGUUUGUGUGUGUUUGUGUGUGUGUUUGUGAGUGUGUUUGUGUGUGUGUGUGAGUUUGUGAGUGUGUUUGUGUGUCUGUGUGAGUUUGUGAGUGUGUUUGUGUGUGUGUGAGUUUGUGAGUGUUUGUGUGUGUGUGAGUUUGUGAGUGUGCUUGUGUGUGUGUGUGUGUGUGUGUGUGUGUGUGUGUGUGUGUGAAUGUGUGUGUGUAGACCCUCUGGAAGAUGGAAAGGGAAGUUAGGGGCUGAGUCAUCAGGGAGAGCAGGAGAGGUUGUGGAUCUGCAGGGUGGGAAGGGUUAGACACCUGUACAGUAGUCUAGGAUCCAAACCUACCAUAAUGACCCACUUUGCCCUAGAUCCUGCAUAUUCUACAGGGAUGAUUUUUUUAUUCUGUAUGUUUACCUCUGAGUGGCCAGGGAGGGGAAAUGGCAGGCUAUUGUCUAUUGCCCAGAGGCAUUCUAGACAUAGACCUCUGCCCUGGGGGGAAAGGGCUCUAAUUGGGACCAUUAUGACCAAGCAGGAAUCAGGUUCAUCCUUCUGGUCCCUGUGUUCAGGCUCCCAGAGUCAGAUCACCUCUGCUCACUGCCAGGCAUUCACGCAGGACAAACAGGAGAACAACUGAGUGGAGUAGCACAGCCUGAGGUAAUGUCUGAGUUUGGGGCCUCCUGCCCAGUCCAUAGGUCAUUUCUUCAGCCUGCACUGACAUCUGAGCUGACUUGAGCUACCAAGAGAAAGCAAGACUCAAAUAGCUCUGACUCAAAGAGAAACUUUCUGCCCGUUCAGAGUAUGGCUUGUCCCACAACAGACCCCACCUCCACACACACCAACUUCCGCCUUGACACUCCCCACUUCUGCCCCAAACAAAGUCCUUGGCAUCCCUAUCAGGAGUUUCAGUUUGUCUUUCUAACUCUAACCAAGGCCACUGCUCUCCACCUGUCUCUGGUACCCAUUCAGUGAGACCCUGGUCUUCUUUCUGCCGUGGUCAUUUCUCUGCACUCACACUCAGGCCUGGAGCAGGACAAAUGUAUAAAGACACCUGAAAUGCUUAGAAGAGGAUGGCUGCUGCACAAGUCCUGUGCCCAUGCAGAGAGGAGAUAAGGGAGGUUGUGUGAAUUCAUUCCCUGCAUCCGGUCUUCCAGUUUCAGAUGAAACACAGCUUGAAUGCAGUGAAAUGAUAACCUAAUGUUUGUUGCCUCUGAGUUUUUCUGGUGCCCUUGCUUCUCCAGCUUCAUUAAACCCUAGAGAAAGUAAAGUUUUGGUUCUUUGUUUUGGGCAUGUCCCCAAACACCACGUAAGCACAGUAGUCUCCUGUGUCCUUUGAGUUUGCUGCUAGAGUUGUCCUGAUUGUUUUUGAGUAAUUGCUUGUGUGCCCUUCAGUCUUCAGGUCCAGCUGUUAGUUGCAACUCUGAUAUGAGAGAUUGGUCUUCCCUCUUUGGAUACAAUUUUGUGCUGUGUAAUAUAUGUUCACAUGAUAAAAUUUCCCAAAGGGGUUAAUUUAAACAGAGUAUAUGAAAACAGCAGACCACCUGAAUUUUGUUCUGCUUUCAAUUCAUAAUACAUUAACGAAUGUCACAAAAUUGUUACUAUAAAUUGGACCUUAUACAACCUUCACCCAACAGAAACCUCAUACAUACAUUGUCCCUGGAUGACUUAAGUUCAUGUUAAAUGCAGGUGCCCCCCAAGGCCAGGCAAUCCUCUGCACCUGCAGUUACCCCCUGUGGUGUUGGGAGCCACCUGUGGGCACUGGCAACUCAUUGAAUCCUGGUCCUCUGCAAGAGCAGUCAGUGCCCUUAAGUGCUGAGCCAUCUCUCCAGCCCCUAAGUUACCAGGUGAAAUGAAUUAACUGGUAACAGCAUUUGUUAACUACAUUAAGAAAUUAUUAAUCAGGAUGGCUCUUCUAACUGUGUAGAGGACUAAGUUUAUGUCAUACGUCUUUUGGGUGUUUGAUUAGAAUGUUUGUAGACUUUGGGUGUGAUUAAUUUUGCUGUCUGAUUUUUCGUUUCACUUGACUUGUUGUUGUGAUCCUUUUUGUUAAACUUCAAGUUUUCAUUUUUUCUGCACAUUUCUCAAAUACAGGACUACAUAGUACUACAUAGUACUACAUAGUACUAACUAUAUACUCUCCUUACUAAUACACACAUACACACAUUUGAUAAUACUUUCUGGCUACUUUCAUAGUUGUGUACCCUUGAAAAUACAUUGAAGUACUCCCUAGAGUAUCAGAAUGUUUCUUUGUAUGGAAAUCAGGCUCUGGAAUUAUGAUUAUGAUAUUUGAAGAGGUGAUCAAAAACCAGGGUGAGAGACUUUUCCUUUUAAGAGAGAGAAAAACAGCACACACGUAUCUUAAAACAACAAAGCUGUGAGUUAGGCUGCUAUAAACGGAGACAUGCCAAGGAUUGUUCGCUACCCCAGGAGAGAGGCAAAGGCAAGCCAGUAUUUCCCGAAGCCUUAAAGGACCAUGUUCCUGCUGACUCCUGGAUUUCAGGUCCCUGCCUCCAGAACAGUGAGAGAAUUCAUUUCUGCUGUUUUAAGGCUGCUUUUAGUCAGUUGUUAAAUAAGGCACAGGGAGCUGAGACAUUACCUAAGAAAUCCAAAUACAGGACAGCAGCUGCAUGAAGAAAUUCAGUAAGGACAGGCAGAAUGGGAUGUAGCAGAAACACCUCUAAGUGGUUUAUUCCAGAGGGACAAACUCAAAAAAAAAAAAAAAAACAACAACAAUAAAAAAACAACCCCCAACUACUUUGGCCAUUCAUUCAAUGCCAAGUCAGAGGCUGAGGCAGGGGAAUGAUGUUACUCAUAUUCUGCUCAUUUUAUUUUUGAGACAAUCUCCUUCUGCUCUGGGGCUUACUAAUCAGGGUUGGCUGGCUGCCUAGUGACCCCAGGGACUCGACUGUCUCACCAGCACUAGGAUUCCAGGUACAAUCCCCCAUCGUGGACAUUAGUUAUGUGGGAUUUCUGCAUAAUAUUCAGGUCUUCAUAUUGGUGCGUCUAACAGAAUAGUGACUGAAUCACUCUCCCAUAUUAAACUUCAGGACUACAUAUUGCUUAUUGUGUAUCCUUAUUCUUUAAGCCAGGGUAUUUAGUGAGAAACUCGUGCUAAGUAAUGGAAAGGGGGAAAUAUACAAGAACGCAGCUACAUAUAGUGUGAGGUACACAGAUAUCCUCAGAAUUGGAGUGUAAGUAUUGGUUGCUGGAAAAAAUAUUGAUAUGCCAUGCUGUAGAGAGGUCUGCUCAGGAUUACAUUUUUGUAGUAUCAUCAAGCUUAUUCAAAUCUCAGCAGGAAUCUCAGAAGAAUCCAUUCCUAGAUGAGCAGUUACAGGCAAGCAAUGGUUGCAGAGAAAUGUCCAAUCAGUCUUUUCAGGGGUGUCAUCACCCGAAAGAUUAUCUAGGUCCAAGCAGUCAUGCUUAAAUGGUUAAACUUGGGAGCAGAAAUGUACAUAUGACGUGUGUAGAUAUCCAUUAUGCAUUAUCCAACUAAAGUGAAGCAAAGGAAAUCUUGGAUUUGAGAGGAAAGAGCAGGAGGAUAAGGAAGUACAUGGGCAGAAGAGAUAAGGAGAAACUGAUGUAAAUGCGGUACUUAUACAUAAUGUCACAAAACAUGAGUUAAAAUCAUGCAUAAGCUUCUAUUCAACCUUUGGGUGGGAGAUAAUGCCAAUGGCAGAUCAUCUUCUCCUGAGGAAGAGAUUCACAUGGACUAGGGAAAGUUGGUUUAAUCCACACCAGCUAUUAUUUCCAUAGUACAAACAUUCAAUAAAGAAAAGGCAAAUCCAAAUCUGUGAUUCUAAGAAUAUGUCCACUGUAACCAAGCACUGGGAUUACUGGGUGUAUAUUAAUCAGCUGGUGUUGCCUUAUGUCAUAUGAGCACAUGCUCCGUGAUUGUUUCGAUGUCCCCCUGUAAGACCUGAGUAGUUGAUUCUGUGGGUUUUCUUGUGUCCUUCACAUCCCUGGACCAUGCACUCAUUCCUCACUCUCUUCCACAGGAUCCCCCAAGGCCUGCCUAAUAUUUGGCUGUGAGUCUCUGCAUCUCUUGCCAUCAAUUGUUGGCUGAGGCCUCUCUGCUGAUGGUAAUGCAAGGCUCUUGUCUGCAAGUACAGCAGAUUAUCAUCAGAAGUCUCAGGGGUGGAUGCCCUAUCAGGGUAUGGGUCUCAAGCUGGUCCAGGCAUGGGCUGGCCACUCCCUCAAUUUCUGCUCCAUUUUCUCCCCAGCCUAUCUCGAAGGAAAAAUAAAUUAUAGGUCAAAGGCUUUGUGUCUGGGAUGGUGUCCCAAUACCUCCAUUAGAAGUCUUGCCUGGCUACAGGAGAUGUUCUAGAACUUUCAGUUGUGCUGUCAAGUCACUUGUAGGAGAUCUCUCCAGUUUCUUCAUGACAGCACUUAGUGCUGUGACUUUUCCUCUUAGCCUUGGGAGAGCCACAACCCUGAUCCACCCCUUCAGGCUCUCCUUUCCUCCCAGGUUACUGCCUACUGGCAUCCUUAAUAAAGGCCUAUAGCCUGUAGUACCUGUCAGUGGGAGUCUUGCAGGGGAUGGGGGGAAGGAGGCUCUGUCAGAAUUGGUGGCAGACAGGCAUGCCUACAGCUCCCAUUUCCCAGGGUCCCCUACACUAAUUUAUUUUAUCCUUAAAUAGGGAGCUCAGAGAUGUUAAGGUACAUAUGAGGGGUCACCCAGCAAAGCCUUGAUUCUGAUCUAGGCAGCCUGGCUCUGCUGUUCUCCUCUCUCUCCCAGACACCAUGCCAGCUGCCCAAGUAUGCUACCAUAGCCACACUGGCUAGGAAAUUGAGACCAGAGGCAUGGAUCCAUUUUUAAAAACUCGUGCAACACCAAGGCUAUAGAGUAUGUGUCGUAUCCUGAAGUCCAGGGUACUUCUGAUUGGCAGGAUGGAGUUACACCCAAGGACAGAAGAAUAGGGGACUGGUGGGAAACCACUGGACCUUGGCAAUUCACAAGCAUUCCGGAUGUUCACACCCAUGAAGGACACUUUAGCACAGAUCAUUGAUGUUAGUUGGUAAUAUUCUUAGUGUAAACAGGGCUGUGACCCUACCUUCAUCAAUAUAUUGGCUUCUGCAGACAUCAGCUGUGACCUAGGGUGCAGUGUAUCUGAACUCAACACCCACCUUAGUCUCUUGGUGUGGUGGAAAAGCACCUAGGAGGAGGACCAGAGGGAGCUGGAAGAUUGUGACGGAUGUUGUCGUUUCCAUACUGUCCUGGGUCUAUCUUGUGUUUCAGCCACAAGUACCAUGUCCAAUCCUGGUGAAGUCUGACCUGUUCCACACAGGACCAAAGUAUGCUCUCGUCUCUUCGGUCCCGUGGACAGUGAGCAGUUGUGCUGUAAUUGUUGUGCCCUCAUUCGGGCUGUCUCCAGGAGAGCCAAGAAUGGUGGAACUUUGAUGUCGUCACUUUCUUUGACUCCCAAAAGUCUGGGCAGGAAGGAGGAACCAUGUACAGGAGGAGCCUUUGAGAGAGCGGACAAGGGCGUCCCCUACCCUGUUUUUCAACAAACUUGCUUCCCUCCCGCCAUCCCGACAACCUCCCCGCCCCCCACGACAGCCACUUCAGUCAGGACAUUGCAACUCACCAGCGCACAGCGUAGACCCCAGACAGCUCAGAAAAACCAAAACGCAUGAAGCUCCUGUGAAUAGAGGAUGCUCAGCGGCUGUAUUCUCUGCCAUACCCGCCAUGAGCAACAGGUGUGACCUGAGCUGUGAGAAGCCGUGAGGAUUCUGUGCCGCCCCGCAGAGGAUCCCGCUCAGAGAUUCACGAAAAUGCCGGUCACCAACGCUGUAACUCCAGCAAUUGUCAGGAACUUUGUAGCUUGCUUGUCCCUCCGUGAGGAUCACAGCCACGCGGGAAGGCCGUCCGGCCAAACUGGGAGCCUGAACUCCACCCUCCAUAUGAAAUAGCAACUCCAACUAGGACAGAAAUCGGUACAAGAAUGUAGGAUAUUGCUACCACUGACCUGAUGAUGUGCUGUGGACAGGAUUGUUGAAGAACUUUGAGACAAUGGGCUUAUACCCUGAUAUAAGCUGACAAAUACAGUGGCGAAGAUUUGAACCUAGAGACGUUGAAUCUCCCUACAAAGUCCCCUGAGACAGAAGUCUUCAGCUGUGCAUGGACAGAUCCAACAACCACCUCAAGCAAAAGAGGAAAAGAGGAAGACAGGAAGGGAGUUUCCAGACAAACGACCAUAGAUUUGCUUCACAGGGAUGAACUGGACGCGUGGGCAAACACAUCUCCCACAUCAAACAUGUAUUUCCCCCAUCCAAGAGUCAAGAAUCACCAGAUAGGAGGGGCAAGAAAUGGUUCGAGAGCAAGAUCGGGUGGAAUGUGGUGAAAGGCUGUUCUCCAUCCAUGAGCUCACCAUCGAACUACUAAACGAGCAGCAGCUCUGAGAACUUGCUUGAUACCUCAUCAGGAGUGCACACACACACACACACACACACACACACACACACACACACACACACAUGAAAGCAGAGGCAGGAGGACCUUAAAGAAAGUCAUCUAGAAGGAAUGGAAAGGAGAGGCUGAUACAGGGUUGAUGUAGCUGAUUUACAUUUUAUACAUAUGUGGAAAUGUCAUAAUAAAACCAAUUGUUUUGUUGCCUUUCAGUAAAACACAUGCACGACACAGGUCACCUACAUAUGGAAAGCAUGACCCAGUCUGUAUAAACAAUAAUGGUUGUCCUUGCCCUUGCUGUAGAAUCUUGGUGAAGGCAGUUAGUUGAGCAUAUUGUCUAAUACGGAACUACCUAGAAUGGACCUAAUUCUACAACCUCUGGGAGACUCAGGUCAAGUACCACAAAGGCCUGUGUCCUCACACUAUAAAAUGACUUCCAGGGUUGAGACUGGCGGUAAUGCACCUGCUGUAAAGUCUGACAGGAUCUAUAGCAAUCUCCAUAGCGUGUAGGACAAGCUCAGGUACUUGCUGGUUGGAUUUUCUGAGACCGAAUGGAAGGCAGGCUCUUCACUUGGGAGCCUCAUGAUCUGGAGGGCAGUGACUAAUCCUGCUAUGUGAAUAGCUGACUUGGUCAGGGUUGAAAGCAUUGUGUCUGCAGAGAAUUGUCACCUACGUUAAACAUGGAAACCUAUACACAACAUGGAAGAAGAAAGGUCUCUCUUUGCCUGCUUCUGUCCCCCUUUGCUAGAAUGACUCACUGGCACUGGAAUCUACAUCCUUGGAAUACUCACAAAGACUGAAAACCAGCUUAGACAUCCAGUUUCAUAAACUGGACCGUUUCUGGAUCCCUGGACUUUCAGUACUUAGGCCUAAGGUUGGAUUUGCUAGAUGAUGGCAUGGAAGCCAUUCCAAUAAUAGAUAGAUAGAUAGAUAGAUAGAUAGAUAGAUAGAUAGAUAGAUAGAUAUGCAUAUAUGAAUAUAUGCAUAUAUGUGUGUAUGUAGAUCCCUAUAUACAGUGUAUAUUCAUGUAUAUAUGUGCAGUGUAUAUGUGUAUAUGUAUAUAUACAUGUGUGUGUUGUAUGUAUGUGCUAGCUAUUCUUGGUUGUCAACUUGACUACACUUGGAAUUAACUAAGAUAGAAAAAUGGGCCACACAUAAUAGUGAUUUUGGAUUAAUACAAAGUGGAAAAAUUCUAAUUCUAAACAUGUUAUUGAAUGUUGGAAAACACACAGUUAAUCUCGAUCUACUGACCUGGGAAAAACCUACCUUUAAUAUAGGCCAGACUUCUGCUUGAUGUUCAUAUAAGCAGAUGGAGGAGUACAUAUUUGCUAUUCCCCUUACUGCUCCGGCUUUGCUAGCACGUCAAUCUCUUCCCUGUCAUUAGAGCCUAUCACUUCAGGAUUUGAGCGUAUACUGGAGACCACCUGAGUCAUCCAUCUUUGGUACUGAGUAAAUUCUGGAUUCUUGGUCUUUCCAUUCCUAGGCAGUCAUGGCUGGAUUAUAUGGCCUCCAGCGUGCAUGUCAUUGUAAUAAAUCACCUUUGUAUAUA
Non-coding RNA from Rattus norvegicus (Norway rat), 9553 nucleotides. The record is from RefSeq and is a predicted model, not a curated record. Lineage: Eukaryota; Metazoa; Chordata; Mammalia; Rodentia; Muridae.